Molecule: long non-coding RNA, 1558 nt
Organism: Galeopterus variegatus (Sunda flying lemur)
Lineage: Eukaryota; Metazoa; Chordata; Mammalia; Dermoptera; Cynocephalidae
Exons: 2
Source: RefSeq, a predicted model, not a curated record
UGGCCCCUGGGGCGGCAAACUGGCCAGGAGGCCACAGCGCCAAGUGCAGCCAUGUGCAGCCAGGGUUGGCCUUCGGAGAGCCCAGGCGAGUCUUGUGCUCACAUGCUCCAGGAUGCCACUUCUUCUGGGAACUGCCAGUGGAGUUGACCUCAGCUCUUGGAGGCCUGGUCUGAGGCUUAGAAAUUAUAUGGAGAUCAUCUGAGAUCCAGGCAGUAGGGCCACGUGGGGGCAUCUGAUUGCCUUGGGCGAGUGCGACCCAGGGCCUCAGGCCAGCAUCUUCUCAGACGACCAAGGGAGAGUGGUCAGAAGAGCACAGGGCACCUGAGAUCCCCAACAGCCCCCUAUUUCGGAUGGGGAGCUAAGGCUCUGAGACCACCCAAGGCUGCUCAGCGGAUCAGCUGCCACACAGGAACGCCAUGGAAAUGGCAGUGAUUGGGAUGGUGGGGGUGCUGUUUGUGGUCACUGUGGCAAUCACCUGCAUCCUCUGCUGCUUCAGCUGUGACUCGAAGACCCAGAAUCCUCAGGGGGGCCCUGGCCAUAGCUUCACAGUGGCCACGUUUCGCCAGGAGGCUUCUCUCUUCACGGGGCCCAGUCGCCAUGCCCAGCCAGCACCGAGUGCCCGGGACUUCUGGACCUUCAUGUGAGGCCUAACAGUCCCUCAAGAUUUGCUCUGCUCUUGGGUCAGACUCGCCCACCCCCCAGCAAACCUGCUCUGGCGUCUGACCCUGCCGAGGCCCGUCUCCCUGUCCUUCCACUCCUGUAUCCUGAGAACUUCUUAUCUCUCCACCCACACUGGUUUGCUGUACCCUGCAGCCUGGGGGAUCCCUGGUCGGGACCAGGUGGGGGUCAGCCCUGAGAGCUCAGCUGGGCCCUACCCACAGGAUGGGGCUUAGGAGGAGUCUGAGGAGUGAGUGAACAGACACAGAGUUGGAUUGCAUGGCGGGCCAGCUCUGCUCAGGCACUGGGCAUGGAAACAUCCACUGGAAUUGAUUGUCAACAGUGUGCCAAUGAAACUGGUUCCAUUGCCACCAGAGGAAGCAGUGUCCUAAAGAGGACAUUUUCAGAAAUCACUUCUUAUCUGCUCCGCUGAUUGGGUAUUUUUGCACAUUGCACAGAGCCCAACCCUGAGGUCUGCCCCUGGCCGGUUGCUUGAAAUCAGCCUUGAAAUUCUGAAACCAGAGAACUGCUUCUUGGGAACACAUGAUUUAUUUUAUAAUCAAAAAUGUAUAUCCUUUUAUGGAUCUUUCCAAAUCUUGUUUGCAAAACCACAAAAGGAAACAGAAAAUAAGAGUCACAGAAAGUACAAGAUGUUUUAUUAACAGGAAAGCCAGAAAGAAGACUUUUAAACUAUUUCGAAUGAGACUUUAUUGCUGUGUUGUAACAGGUGGCUUCUAUUCUUAGAGCUUGUGAGUGACUUCCCUCACUCAGGAAUGAUAGAAAAAUCAUGAACUGUAACAUAAUUCCAAAAAAGUUAAAAUGUUGUGUUACAUUCAGAGCAUGUAAUGAAGCUCUUGUUUUCACCACAAAUAAAGAGAUAUUCAGUUUUUAUUCAUAGAAA